This 604-nucleotide unclassified non-coding RNA is filed under the name Xanthomonas theicola. RNAcentral describes it as "partial contains 16S-23S ribosomal RNA intergenic spacer and 23S ribosomal RNA". The stretch from base 217 to 290 matches the Rfam family "tRNA". The record is from RNAcentral. Lineage: Bacteria; Pseudomonadati; Pseudomonadota; Gammaproteobacteria; Lysobacterales; Lysobacteraceae.
CAGGCGUCCUCACAAGUGACCUGCAUUCAGAGAGUUCCGCCACCGGGCGGGGCACCCCGAUGUCGGGGCCAUAGCUCAGCUGGGAGAGCACCUGCUUUGCAAGCAGGGGGUCGUCGGUUCGAUCCCGACUGGCUCCACCAGAUUUGCAGAUCCCUCUGCAAGGGCCCGCGCAUCCAUGUGCGGACUGUCUAAGGGACCUGCGAGAGCCAAGACUUUGGGUCUGUAGCUCAGGUGGUUAGAGCGCACCCCUGAUAAGGGUGAGGUCGGUGGUUCGAGUCCUCCCAGACCCACCACUCUGAAUGUACGAAGCACACUAAGAAUUUGACUGCGCCAGCAUUGAGGCUGGGGCGUGUUCUUUUAAAAUUUGUGACGUAGCGAGCGUUUGAGAUCAACUAUCUCGACGUGUCGUUGUGGCUAAGGCGGGGACUUCGAGUCCCUAGAGUGAGUCGUUAUCGUUCGCGUCCGGGCGUUGUACCCCCGGACUCAGCAUAACCUUGAGGCAACUUGAGGUUAUAUGGUCAAGCGAAUAAGCGCACACGGUGGAUGCCUUGGCGGUCAGAGGCGAUGAAGGACGUGGCAGCCUGCGAAAAGUGUCGGGGAGCUG